UUUUCGCAGACAUUAGGAAGAAGUUAAAAACUUCUUACCUAAGGAACCAGCAGCACUAUAAUUUGAGGAAACGAGAUCUGCGAUUCUUUGUUGGUGAUCGAGUCUUAAAGCGCAAUUUUGUCAAAUCCAAUAAGGGUGAUGCCAUUUCUGCAAAGUUUUGCCAGAAAUAUGUCCCAUGUACUGUCUCAAGGGUAAUAUCUCCUUUGAUUUAUGAAUUAAAGGACAAUUCGACUAAUAAGCGAAUUGGUCAAUUUCAUGUAAAGGAUUUACUGCCUGACAACACCAUGGACGAUGUGGAUUCUUCAACUUCAUCGGAAGAAGAUUAGCUUAACAGGGUUGUUUAAGCUAAUAUCUUCCUGUGUUUGCCUUUAAUUAGUUUUAUUAUGGUAUAGUAUUUUAGUUUAAAUUGUUAAUCACCAGAUAAUGCCUGACCAUAGCAAUUUUUAUCCUUCGGCAUGGCUUGAUGAUUUCUCACGUAUUAGUUAUUAGGUACCGAAUUCUUGUGUAAUACCGCUUGUAUGAGUUUAUUAUUAUUUUUUUGUAUUAUAGAUUGCAUUUGAGUCAUUAUCGACAAAUAUUCUCAAAUACUAAUCCAGCCAGUAGUAUUACCAAGUUAAUAACCUCCACUUGUACUCUUAGUUUUGUACUCAACCUCUCAGAAUAAAAGGGCUGUUGAUUAUUAUAUAUUAAGAUAUUUGGAUGUGUGGGCUCAUACAAGUAUUCUUGCUUAAUAUAGAUGGAGCUAUGUUACACUACCAUAUCUUAGAUUAUGUGUUAUAUCUUGGAUAUUUGAUUACAUACCUAUUAUUUUUUUUUAUUGUUUUUAUAUCAUGUCAUUGGAUUUGCCAUAUUGGAAAGAAGUUGUGGUUGUUAAUUUGUUAUUGGGUUACUUUAUUGAUAUUUGUCACAGGUACCUUAAAUACUUUAUAUUAAUUCGGAUUCUUACUUCCUCCACAGGAUGAUUCUGGAAUGAAUUUGGAAUUUUGAUUUAUAAAUGAAUUCUUGAGUCCUUCAUAUUUCUUCUUAUGAACUAGUCUGUUAAUGCUCAAAGUUGGUGAAUACGUGGGUUCGAAGUUCAGCAACUGAUCACUGCUAUCCGAUUUCGUAAUCCAUGUCUUUCUUGUCAGAGUAGGCAGAUGUUUAUCCAUGAUAAUAUUUCUGGUUGGGAAAUGGUGUACAACACUUCCUAACCAUUCUUGUGCAAUUGUUCCAAAUAUUCCAGGCACAUUUUCACACGAUAAUAGGGAAGUCUAGUUUGCUUAUUUUAUGUCUCUUAGUUCAUAGUAUAUAGAUGCUUGACUUUCCAUAGACGUAGAGUCGUAAUGUUAGUGAUUAACCCACUGGGACAAAUUAUUGAUUUUCUUUUUAGUAGAUUCCCUCUUCUUUCCUUAGGCAUUAAUUGUUGCUUAGAUUCAGGAAUAUCUCCUGGAUAAUCCUAUGUAUGUUCACAUGAAUAUACAGUCUUAUGAAAGAUUGGGAGCUCGUUCCCGUCAUAUUUUGUAUUUACCAUGGAGUCAUAGAACUUAUAAGUUCAUCCUUUAUUUUUACUAUUUAGUUUCGAUAGGCUCAUAUUACCGGAUGAGGGUAGAUCUAGAGCUAAUUUAGUUAGUUAUUUAGUAUUAGUGAGAAUUGGUCCAUAAAUCUUCCUGAUCGUUCUUCUUUGGAUAUGCUCCUAUAAAUCUGGUGUCCAUUGCUAGUCCGAUUUUGGAUUAAGUGUCCGAUUCUUCACUUAUUUUGUUUAUUUGGUUGUAUAGGUUCGUAUUACCGGAUGUGGGUGUACGUAGACCUAAUUUAUUUAUAUGAUUUAGUAUGGAUGUGAAUUGGUCCAUAAAUCUUCCUGGUCGUUCUUCAUUGGAUAUGCUUUUGUGAAUCUGUUGUCCAUUGAUAGUCUGACUUUGGAUUGAGUGUCUGAUUCCACAUUUAUUUUGGUUAAUGUGUUUGCAUUCCUUUGGUAUGUUCACUAUUUAUAUUAGUUGGUAUUGGUGAAAAUUAUUCUAUAAAUAUUCCUAGUUGUUCUUCUCUGGAUAUGCUAUUACGAAUCUGGUGUCCAUUGCUAGUCCAAUUUAGGAUUGAGUGUUUGAUUCUUCACUUAUUAUAGUUAUUGAUUUCAUUGGUGACUUUAGUAUAUGUACUUGCGUUAUGGUAUGAAUUGGCUCUCACCUUUGCCUGGUUGUUCGUCCUUGGAUAUACUCCUUAUAAAUCUGAUGUCCAUGGAUAGUUCAACUUUGGAUUUACUGCCAAUUCGACACUUAUUUGUCAUUAUAAAUUAUGUCUCAUCUUUAGCACUUUUACUAGGACUUCGGGUCAUAUUUUGCAAUUUCCGUUAUUUGCUGCAGUGACCAUCCUACUUUCCCUUGAUUAUUAGUGGUGAUUAUUUGUAAUCUUGCGAAUCAACGGGGAAUGAUACACUAAGCACUACUACUCUAGUUUAAUAUUUUGAAAAAAAAAAAAAAAAAUUUUUUUUAAAUAAAAUUUUUUUUUCUGGUGGUUGAAAGGGAAUGUGACGUUCCGCCCCUUAUAGAAUCGAUUAUUGAUGGGAAGAUAUUAUUUAACUAUCCAAAAUAUUAUUUAAUUAUUUUCAGAAUUAUUUUCUUUCAAUGUUUAUUCAAAUAGAACUUAAACCCAUCUCAGAAUUUUUAAAUGCUUGAUGACGUCACAUUUAAAACGUGGCAACAUUGGUUUCCCCACUUUGACAGCCAAUGCUUAGUAGAGGGGUACGAAGGAUUCAGCUGUGAACGUGAGCCUUGGAUUGCGAUUGUUUCUCGAGUGUUCGGUCUGAAUCGUAGUGUGCGGGGUCAUUAGACUCAAUUAUUCACCUCUAAUUCUCAGUUCCAAAUUGAUUAAAUAUUACAAUAAAAGUAUAGUGAAGUUAUCCAGCAGCAGUGGAUUUGAAGAAUUUUAGAGCAUACUAUAUCCAAUGAGUUCUACCCCGCACCUACCAUGAAAUCUUAAAGCCACCCUACAACAACACCAAGGCCAGACCACACAGAGAGAAACAAUCAAUAGGCGACCAGCCUGGAUUAUUUCCACAUUUUCUUUUUUUGAGUACCUCCAGCUGCUUUCCAACAGUUUUGAGUACCUUCAGCUGCUUUCUACCAGUCUUCCUCUCCUGUACCUCCAGCAGGACAGCUGCUAGCGAGAGUUAGCACCCUUGGGUGCUCAUUACAUCAACUUCAAGAUUAGGAAAGAGUGGUUUGUUUGGGAACAUUUACUGUGCUCUUAUUAAAGACAGACUGGUUUUGUGAUAUUUAGUACAUUUUUUUUUAUAGUUCAAUUGCACACACAUUUUUCCUGCUUUAUAUUUUUUAUAGGUUUUUUUUUCUUUACAACAUAAUAUUUAAUUGAUAGCGUUCCCCAACACUCUGCAAUCUAUAAAGGUAUAAAUUUCUGAGCUCAGAUAUUUUCCCUGAUAAUAGUAGUCGGUACUCUUAUCUUGAUUAUUUUUAGGCUGUGUUCCACUUUUGUAUAAUUAUUUAAACUCAUUCCAUUAUUUUAGUAUAUGUUUAAUUAAAUUUUUAAAAAUUAACUUCACAUAUUAGUCAAAAUUGUAAUUAUUAACUUUAUUUAACUUGAACUUAUUAACUUUACUUAACUUUAACUUAUUAACUUUAUUUAACUUUAACUUUAAUUUAUUAAAUUCAUAUGAACUUCUGGAUUCUAAUCCCUCAGAUUAGUUUUUGGUUUCACUUGUUAUUAUUACUAUUAUAAACCACGAGUUAGGAAAAGGAUCUGUGUAUCCACUCGUAGGUUUAUUUAUUCAAUAAGGCUUGUGCCUGUCCCACUCACAGUGAGGUAUUUAUAUGUUAUAUAUAGUAUCAGGUAGUAUUUAAUUAAGGUGUACGUAUUAUAAACGUACAAUUAUUAUUUGGUGAGGGUUCUACUAACCUAGUUGUAAGUUGUACUUCCUGUAUUAGAGGUACCCGUAGUCAGUUUUUCUAACCUUAUAAAGAGUAUUCUUAGAUCAUAGUUGUAUGAUGAUUUUGUAAUUGACUUUCACUAGUAUCACUUUUUCCUGUCAUGUUAGAGUUACACACUAGUUACUUGUCCUAACUCAGAGAUUGUUAAAAAGAUCUAGUAGUUACAUUCAAUAAAUAUACAUUUAUUGUGA
Molecule: long non-coding RNA, 4108 nt
Filed under: Diabrotica virgifera virgifera (western corn rootworm)
Lineage: Eukaryota; Metazoa; Arthropoda; Insecta; Coleoptera; Chrysomelidae
Description: uncharacterized LOC126884265
Source: RNAcentral